GACGAAUGCUGGCGGCGUGCUUAACACAUGCAAGUCGAACGGAAAGGCCCUGCUUGCAGGGUACUCGAGUGGCGAACGGGUGAGUAACACGUGGGUGAUCUGCCCUGCACUUCGGGAUAAGCCUGGGAAACUGAGUCUAAUACCGGAUAGGAGCCAUUUUUAGUGCGAUGGUUGGAAAGUUUUUUCGGUGUAGGAUGAGCUCGCGGCCUAUCAGCUUGUUGGUGGGGUAAUGGCCUACCAAGGCGGCGACGGGUAGCCGGCCUGAGAGGGUGGACGGCCACAUUGGGACUGAGAUACGGCCCAGACUCCUACGGGAGGCAGCAGUGGGGAAUAUUGCACAAUGGGCGCAAGCCUGAUGCAGCGACGCCGCGUGGGGGAUGACGGCCUUCGGGUUGUAAACUCCUUUCGCUAGGGACGAAGCUUUUGUGACGGUACCUAGAUAAGAAGCACCGGCUAACUACGUG
RNAcentral lists this ribosomal RNA (464 nucleotides) under uncultured bacterium. RNAcentral describes it as "partial 16S ribosomal RNA". It matches the Rfam family "Bacterial small subunit ribosomal RNA", at positions 28 to 507 of the family's 1533-position model. The record is from RNAcentral.